UACGAAGGGGGCUAGCGUUGUUCGGAAUCACCGGGCGUAAAGGGCGCGUAGGCGGCUUUGUAAGUCGGGGGUGAAAGCCUGUGGCUCAACCACAGAAUUGCCUUCGAUACUGUAGAGCUUGAGACCGGAAGAGGUUAGUGGAACUGCGAGUGUAGAGGUGAAAUUCGUAGAUAUUCGCAAGAACACCAGUGGCGAAGGCGGCUGACUGGUCCGGUUCUGACGCUGAGGCGCGAAAGCGUGGGGGAGCAAACAGG
This 254-nucleotide ribosomal RNA is filed under the name uncultured bacterium. RNAcentral describes it as "partial 16S ribosomal RNA". It matches the Rfam family "Bacterial small subunit ribosomal RNA", at positions 524 to 776 of the family's 1533-position model. The record is from RNAcentral.